This 305-nucleotide long non-coding RNA is filed under the name Ursus americanus (American black bear). RNAcentral describes it as "lncRNA (ENSUAMG00000016265.1)". The stretch from base 6 to 98 matches the Rfam family "Small nucleolar RNA SNORD116". Lineage: Eukaryota; Metazoa; Chordata; Mammalia; Carnivora; Ursidae. The record is from RNAcentral.
UGCUCGGAUCGAUGGUGACUCCCUACAAAUGCAUUCCUUGGAAAUCUGAACAAAAUGAGUGACAGUCCCUACCGUCGUCCUCAUCGGAACUGAGGUCCAGCACGUGGCUCCACCCAGGAACUCAGAGUGAGGGACACACGCGGUGCCAUAGCUUUGCUGGUAGCUGCGAGUGUGCACCAGGAUUGGGCCGUGACGCAGACCUCCGUGGGUGACACUGGAACACAGGCUGACAGGCCAGCGGCCUGAGAGAAUGAGGUGGAGCGGCAUGAUGCCAGUGUCCGUGAACAUCUGCAAGCCCCAUUCUG